RNAcentral lists this transfer RNA (65 nucleotides) under Brachionus calyciflorus. Its description in RNAcentral is "tRNA-Glu". Lineage: Eukaryota; Metazoa; Rotifera; Eurotatoria; Ploima; Brachionidae. The record is from RNAcentral.
GCUUAUGUAGUAUAAAAUAGUACAUGAUCUUUUCACGAUCAAAGUAAAGGUAUCUUUUAUAAGUU